AGACUUUGAUUAUGGCUCAGAACGAACGCUGGCGGCAUGCCUAACACAUGCCAAGUCGGACGAGAAGGUUCCUUCGGGAACUGUAGAGUGGCGCACGGGUGAGUAACGCGUGGGGACCUACCUCUUAGUGGGGGAUAACGGUUGGAAACGACCGCUAAUACCGCAUACGCCCUUCGGGGGAAAGAUUUAUCGCCCUGGGAUGGGCCCGCGUCGGAUUAGCUAGUUGGUGGGGUAAAGGCUCACCAAGGCGACGAUCCGUAGCUGGUCUGAGAGGAUGAUCAGCCACACUGGGACUGAGACACGGCCCAGACUCCUACGGGAGGCAGCAGUGGGGAAUAUUGGACAAUGGGCGCAAGCCCUGAUCCAGCCAUGCCCGCGUGAGUGAACAAGGCCUUUAGGGGUUGUAAAGCCUCUUUUCACCCCUC
This 425-nucleotide ribosomal RNA is filed under the name uncultured bacterium. Its description in RNAcentral is "bacterial SSU rRNA". It matches the Rfam family "Bacterial small subunit ribosomal RNA", at positions 8 to 445 of the family's 1533-position model. The record is from RNAcentral.